Molecule: ribosomal RNA, 776 nt
Filed under: Bacillus sp. PG_13
Lineage: Bacteria; Bacillati; Bacillota; Bacilli; Caryophanales; Bacillaceae
Description: bacterial SSU rRNA
Rfam family: Bacterial small subunit ribosomal RNA
Source: RNAcentral
GCAGUCGAGCGGACGAUGGGAGCUUGCUCCCUGAUGUUAGCGGCGGACGGCCCUCCAAACGUGGGUAACCUGCCUGUAAGACUGGGAUAACUCCCUAUAACCGGGGCUAAUACCGGAUGCUUGUUUGAACCGCAUGGUUCAAACAUAAAAGGUGGCUUCGGCUACCACUUACAGAUGGACCCGCGGCGCAUUAGCUAGUUGGUGAGGUAAUGGCUCACCAAGGCAACGAUGCGUAGCCGACCUGAGAGGGUGAUCGGCCACACUGGGACUGAGACACGGCCCAGACUCCUACGGGAGGCAGCAGUAGGGAAUCUUCCGCAAUGGACGAAAGUCUGACGGAGCAACGCCGCGUGAGUGAUGAAGGUUUUCGGAUCGUAAAGCUCUGUUGUUAGGGAAGAACAAGUACCGUUCGAAUAGGGCGGUACCUUGACGGUACCUAACCAGAAAGCCACGGCUAACUACGUGCCAGCAGCCGCGGUAAUACGUAGGUGGCAAGCGUUGUCCGGAAUUAUUGGGCGUAAAGGGCUCGCAGGCGGUUUCUUAAGUCUGAUGUGAAAGCCCCCGGCUCAACCGGGGAGGGUCAUUGGAAACUGGGGAACUUGAGUGCAGAAGAGGAGAGUGGAAUUCCACGUGUAGCGGUGAAAUGCGUAGAGAUGUGGAGGAACACCAGUGGCGAAGGCGACUCUCUGGUCUGUAACUGACGCUGAGGAGCGAAAGCGUGGGGAGCGAACAGGAUUAGAUACCCUGGUAGUCCACGCCGUAAACGAUGAGUGCUA